AUGAUUGUUCAUAAAGGAAUAUGUUGUGAGUGGCAACUCAUGUGCAUAAGAUUUCAUUUAACAGUGAGUGUUUGUUGCACUUGGUUUAAUGUUCUAUGCCAUAUAUCGCACAAAACACAAACAUUUUCAUUGAAGAAAAAGAAUUUGAACACAAGAAACAUAUAUCGCACAAAACACAAACAUUAA
Vicia faba (fava bean) is the source of this 186-nucleotide non-coding RNA. The record is from the annotation of a GenBank genome assembly. NCBI's taxonomy places the organism in Eukaryota, Viridiplantae, Streptophyta, Magnoliopsida, Fabales, Fabaceae.